Molecule: ribosomal RNA, 437 nt
Filed under: uncultured bacterium
Lineage: Bacteria
Description: partial 16S ribosomal RNA
Rfam family: Bacterial small subunit ribosomal RNA
Source: RNAcentral
AGCGAACGCUGGCGGCAGGCUUAACACAUGCAAGUCGAGCGGGCAUCCUUGUGGUGUCAGCGGCAGACGGGUGAGUAACGCGUGGGAACGUGCCCUUCGGCUCGGAAUAACUCAGGGAAACUUGAGCUAAUACCGGAUACGUGCGAGAGCAGAAAGGUUUAUCUGCCGAAGGAUCGGCCCGCGUCUGAUUAGCUAGUUGGUGAGGUUACGGCUCACCAAGGCGACGAUCAGUAGCUGGUCUGAGAGGAUGAUCAGCCACACUGGGACUGAGACACGGCCCAGACUCCUACGGGAGGCAGCAGUGGGGAAUAUUGGACAAUGGGGGCAACCCUGAUCCAGCCAUGCCGCGUGAGUGAUGACGGCCUUAGGGUUGUAAAGCUCUUUUCUCCGGGACGAUAAUGACGGUACCGGAGGAAUAAGCCCCGGCUAACUUCGUG